GACGAACGCUGGCGGCGUGCUUAACACAUGCAAGUCGAAUGAAGUGGCGAACGGGUGUGUAACGCGUAAUCAACCUGCCCUUCAGAGGGGGACAACAGUUGGAAACGACUGCUAAUAUCGCAUACUGAAGGAGGGGAUUGCGUCUGAUUAGCUAGUUGGAGGGGUAAAGGCCCACCAAGGCGAUGAUCAGUAGCCGGUCUGAGCGGAUGAGCGGCCGCGGUGGGACUGAUACACGGCCAAGACUCCUACGGGAGGCAGCAGUGGGGAAUCUUCCGCGAUGGACGACAGUCUGACGGAGCAACGCCGCGUGAGUGAUGACGGCCUUCGGGUUGUAAAGCUCUGUUAAUCGGGACGCGGUACCGGAAUAGAGAGCCACGGCUAACUACGUGCCAGCAGCCGCGGUAAUUC
This 408-nucleotide ribosomal RNA is filed under the name uncultured bacterium. Its description in RNAcentral is "partial 16S ribosomal RNA". It matches the Rfam family "Bacterial small subunit ribosomal RNA", at positions 28 to 526 of the family's 1533-position model. The record is from RNAcentral.